AAGACCCCUUGAAGACGACGAGGUAGAUAGGGCAGAGGUGGAAGUGUGGUAACACAUGGAGCUGACUGUUACUAAUAGGUCGAGGGCAUAACCAAA
This 96-nucleotide ribosomal RNA is filed under the name Ruminococcus sp. AF25-17. Its description in RNAcentral is "partial 23S ribosomal RNA". It matches the Rfam family "Bacterial large subunit ribosomal RNA", at positions 2830 to 2925 of the family's 2925-position model. RNAcentral also lists the same sequence under 2 other names. Lineage: Bacteria; Bacillati; Bacillota; Clostridia; Eubacteriales; Oscillospiraceae. The record is from RNAcentral.